This 410-nucleotide ribosomal RNA is filed under the name uncultured bacterium. Its description in RNAcentral is "bacterial SSU rRNA". It matches the Rfam family "Bacterial small subunit ribosomal RNA", at positions 9 to 421 of the family's 1533-position model. The record is from RNAcentral.
GAGUUUGAUCUUGGCUCAGAUUGAACGCUGGCGGCAGGCCUAACACAUGCAAGUCGGGCGGUAGAGAGAAGCUUGCUUCUCUUGAGAGCGGCGGACGGGUGAGUAAUGCCUAGGAAUCUGCCUGGUAGUGGGGGAUAACGCUCGGAAACGGACGCUAAUACCGCAUACGUCCUACGGGAGAAAGCAGGGGACCUUCGGGCCUUGCGCUAUCAGAUGAGCCUAGGUCGGAUUAGCUAGUUGGUGAGGUAAUGGCUCACCAAGGCGACGAUCCGUAACUGGUCUGAGAGGAUGAUCAGUCACACUGGAACUGAGACACGGUCCAGACUCCUACGGGAGGCAGCAGUGGGGAAUAUUGGACAAUGGGCGAAAGCCUGAUCCAGCCAUGCCGCGUGUGUGAAGAAGGUCUUCGG